RNAcentral lists this ribosomal RNA (253 nucleotides) under uncultured bacterium. RNAcentral describes it as "partial 16S ribosomal RNA". It matches the Rfam family "Bacterial small subunit ribosomal RNA", at positions 524 to 776 of the family's 1533-position model. The record is from RNAcentral.
UACGGAGGGUGCAAGCGUUAUCCGGAUUCACUGGGUUUAAAGGGUGUGUAGGCGGGUAUUUAAGUCAGUGGUGAAAUCUCCGGGCUCAACCCGGAAACUGCCAUUGAUACUAUUUAUCUUGAAUUCUGUUGAGGUAGGCGGAAUAUAUCAUGUAGCGGUGAAAUGCUUAGAUAUGAUAUAGAACACCGAUUGCGAAGGCAGCUUACUAAACAGAUAUUGACGCUGAGGUACGAAAGCGUGGGGAGCAAACAGG